RNAcentral lists this transfer RNA (72 nucleotides) under Belgica antarctica. RNAcentral's name for it is "tRNA IU25_tRNA_113". It matches the Rfam family "tRNA". Rfam says of the family: Transfer RNA (tRNA) molecules are approximately 80 nucleotides in length. Lineage: Eukaryota; Metazoa; Arthropoda; Insecta; Diptera; Chironomidae. The record is from RNAcentral.
GCUCUCAUAGCUCAGGGGCAGAGCGCCAGUCUAGUAAACUGGAGGCCGAGAGUUCAAAUCUCUCUGAAAGCA